Molecule: ribosomal RNA, 375 nt
Filed under: uncultured bacterium
Lineage: Bacteria
Description: partial 16S ribosomal RNA
Rfam family: Bacterial small subunit ribosomal RNA
Source: RNAcentral
CCUACGGGUGGCUGCAGUGUGGAAUAUUGGUCCAUGGGCGCGAUCCUGACCCCGCCAAGUCGCGUGAAGGAUGACUGCCCUACGGGUUGUAAACUUCUUUUAUCAAGCAAUAACGUGAGGCACGUGUGCCUUUUUAUAUGUCCUUUAUGUAUCCGGACACGCUAACUCCGUGCCAGCAGCCUCGGUAAUACGGAGGAUUCUCGCGGUAUCCGGAUUUAUUGGGUUUAAAGGGAGCGUAGAUGGGUUGUUAAGUCAGUUGUGAAAGUUUGCGGCUCAACCGUAAAAUUGCAAUUGAUACUGGCAGCCUUGAGUACAGUAGAGGUAAGCGGAAGUCGUGGUGUAGCGGUGAAAUGCUUAGAUAUCACGAAGAACUCC